GUAAAAGAUGUGAGUUCUAUGAUUAGGAGCUCAUUGUCACACCUCUUUUGCCACAAAAUUGAUCCUCUGUUAUGACGUAAUGAAGUAUAGAACCCUAUGCCAUUAAAUCAGGGAUUCUCUUUGUCCUAAGAUAGUAAUGCUUGCAGAGGCACUGCAGCAGGCAAAGAAGAUAAACCCCUAUCUGAGACUCCAGUUUCUUCAGCUUUGGCCCUCUUGGGCCUUCGAACACAGACUGAAGACUGCGCUGUUGGCUUCACGACUUUGGAGGUUUUGGAACUCCAACUGGCUUCCUUGUUCUUCAGCUUGCAGACGGCCUACUGUGGGACGUCACCUUGAGAUCGUUGAUAUGGACAGGAGACGGAAAUACUGGGUAGAAAAGGGCAGUUCCCUGGCAAAGCCUCACCCUCAAGCCUGGAUACCUGCUGUCUUAAACGAAAACGAAAACAGGCAUUUCUGUGUUCAUGCUCCAAAAGUUAUCUUUUGGCCUGCCACACCCCCUAUCCUGCACCCAUAUGAAUCCCGAACCCCAGACUCCAGAAGCAGACCAGCAAGCCCGCAGACCAGCAGAAGGAUGGCAGAACGAUGUGGCAGAGAAAGGGAGAAGAGGAGGAACAUCUGAAUGCCAAAAUGAGUUCAGCUGGGGGCAGUCAGAGAGGAGUCCAGCCACUGGGCAGCCAGAAUCCAGGGGAGGAUCACCUUUCCACUUCAUCCCCUUCCUCUGCCUCCCCAUCCAUCCUGCUGAAAGCCACCUCCACCACUCAAUAAAACCUGCCAUUCAUCCUUGGA
Molecule: long non-coding RNA, 786 nt
Organism: Homo sapiens (human)
Lineage: Eukaryota; Metazoa; Chordata; Mammalia; Primates; Hominidae
Product: long intergenic non-protein coding RNA 364
Source: Ensembl